This 464-nucleotide ribosomal RNA is filed under the name uncultured bacterium. Its description in RNAcentral is "partial 16S ribosomal RNA". It matches the Rfam family "Bacterial small subunit ribosomal RNA", at positions 29 to 507 of the family's 1533-position model. The record is from RNAcentral.
ACGCACGCUGGCGGCGUGCUUAACCCCUGCAAGUCGCACGGAAAGGCCCUGCUUGCAGGGUCCUCGAGUGGCGAACGGGUGAGUAACACGUGGGUGAUCUGCCCUGCACUUCGGGAUAAGCCUGGGAAACUGGGUCUAAUACCGGAUAGGAGCCAUUUUUAGUGUGAUGGUUGGAAAGUUUUUUCGGUGUAGGAUGAGCUCGCGGCCUAUCAGCUUGUUGGUGGGGUAAUGGCCUACCAAGGCGGCGACGGGUAGCCGGCCUGAGAGGGUGGACGGCCACAUUGGGACUGAGAUACGGCCCAGACUCCUACGGGAGGCAGCAGUGGGGAAUAUUGCACAAGGGGCGCAAGCCUGAUGCAGCGACGCCGCGGGGGGGAGGACGGCCUUCGGGUUGUAAACUCCUUUCGCUAGGGACGAAGCUUUUUGUGACGGUACCUAGAGAAGAAGCACCGGCUAACUACGUG